GAUGAAGAACACAGCGAAAUGCGAUACGUAAUGUGAAUUGCAGAAUUCAGUGAAUCAUCGAGUCUUUGAACGCACAUUGCGCCCUCUGGUAUUCCGGAGGGCAUGCCUGUCCGAGCGUCAUUGCUGCCCUCAAGCACGGCUUGUGUGUUGGGCUCCGUCCCCCGAUCCCGGGGGACGGGCCCGAAAGGCAGCGGCGGCACCGCGUCCGGUCCUCGAGCGUAUGGGGCUUUGUCACCCGCUCUGUAGGCCCGGCCGGCGCUUGCCGAUCAACCAAAUUUUUAUCCAGGUUGACCUCGGAUCAGGUAGGGAUACCCGCUGAACUUAAGCAUAUCAAUAAGCGGAGGA
This 345-nucleotide unclassified non-coding RNA is filed under the name soil metagenome. RNAcentral describes it as "partial contains 5.8S ribosomal RNA, internal transcribed spacer 2, and large subunit ribosomal RNA". The stretch from base 1 to 120 matches the Rfam family "5.8S ribosomal RNA", at positions 35 to 154 of the family's 154-position model. The record is from RNAcentral.